UACGAAGGGGGCUAGCGUUGUUCGGAAUUACUGGGCGUAAAGCGCACGUAGGCGGGUAUUUAAGUCAGGGGUGAAAUCCCAGAGCUCAACUCUGGAACUGCCUUUGAUACUGGGUACCUAGAGUAUGGAAGAGGUGAGUGGAAUUCCGAGUGUAGAGGUGAAAUUCGUAGAUAUCGGAGGAACACCAGUGGCGAAGGCGGCUCACUGGUCCAUUACUGACGCUGAGGUGCGAAAGCGUGGGGAGCAAACAGG
Molecule: ribosomal RNA, 252 nt
Filed under: uncultured bacterium
Lineage: Bacteria
Description: partial 16S ribosomal RNA
Rfam family: Bacterial small subunit ribosomal RNA
Source: RNAcentral